ACCCUAGAUUUAUAGCUAGAAAUGAGGACAGAAUUGCGAUUAUAUAUGACUAUAAAUAUAUAAUCGCAAUUCUGUCCUCAUUUCUAGCUAUAAAUCUAGGGU
This 102-nucleotide microRNA precursor is filed under the name Podarcis lilfordi (Lilford's wall lizard). Lineage: Eukaryota; Metazoa; Chordata; Lepidosauria; Squamata; Lacertidae. The record is from RNAcentral.